GGGCAUUUGACGCAGGGGUAGCGUGCUUGCUUCGCACACUGAAAAUGUGAAGUUGCAUGAAGUCAAGGGUUCGAAUCCCUUGGUCUUCA
This is a non-coding RNA of Rhexocercosporidium sp. MPI-PUGE-AT-0058, 89 nucleotides long. NCBI's taxonomy places the organism in Eukaryota, Fungi, Ascomycota, Leotiomycetes, Helotiales. The record is from the annotation of a GenBank genome assembly.